UCAUCACCGUCAUUAUUCCUGAACAUUCUUUCGGGCAUAAUGCGGUGUUCGGAAGAAAACUUCCGAGCAAGCGUUAGUUCUAAAAUAUUCAAUCUCUCGGAAGUGAUUUUCUACUUUCGAGAGAUUUUUUUU
Regulatory RNA element from Actinobacillus succinogenes 130Z, 132 nucleotides. It matches the Rfam family "Histidine operon leader". From Rfam's summary of the family: At least 6 amino acid operons are known to be regulated by attenuation. Lineage: Bacteria; Pseudomonadati; Pseudomonadota; Gammaproteobacteria; Pasteurellales; Pasteurellaceae. The record is from Rfam.